Molecule: long non-coding RNA, 40179 nt
Filed under: Coffea arabica (coffee)
Lineage: Eukaryota; Viridiplantae; Streptophyta; Magnoliopsida; Gentianales; Rubiaceae
Description: long non-coding RNA (CARA_LNC006959)
Rfam family: Plant small nucleolar RNA R71 (bases 32792-32898)
Source: RNAcentral
UAUAAGUCACCACCACCACCUCCUCCAGUGUACAAGUCUCCGCCACCUCCAGUCUACAAGUAUAAGUCACCACCACCUCCUUCCCCAAUUUACAAGUCACCACCACCACCUCCUCCAGUAUACAAAUCACCUCCACCACCUCCUCCAGUUUACAAAUCUCCACCACCACCAAUUUAUAAAUACAAGUCUCCUCCACUACCUCCUCCAGUGUACAAGUCAUCACCACCACCUGCUUACAAGUCUCCACCUCCUCCAGUUUACAGUUCCCCACCACCACCAAUCUACAAGUCUCCACCUCCACCCUACCAUUACUACUACAAUUCUCCUCCUCCUCCUCGUCACUACUAAGCAAUUGUAUCCAAGUUUUUGAGGUAAUAACGUUUAACCAAUAAAUUAACUUUCGCAUGAUAAACCUUAUCUCUAUCUAGACAAACUGCCAUGUGUAUAAUGCCAAAUACGUACACCUAGAUCCAUGAAAAUGAGUGGUAGAAAGUUUUCUUAAGAACCAAGGAACAGCAUUAGUAUUCCCUCUGCUUCCAAACACUUGUGUAUUAAAUAGAUUAAUGAAUUGUUUAACAUGCUCAUCUACUUGAAAAUGCACAAUACCCAUAACCCACUGAAAUUUUUGCAGGAAAAGGGAAAGAGAAUCUGUGUUUGAGAGCUUCAUGAAGAUGUUGAAGAAUAAGAAUAAAAGCCCAAUGCGAGGAUGUUUUCAAGUUUUUCUAUGUUUCCACUUUAAUUUGUAAAUUGAAUUUUGCGACUCAAUUAAUUCCCUGUUUGUGGGGUACGUAUUGUUUUACGUACCAUGCCGUACAUGUUUGUAAGGAUUUCUAUCCUAUUGGCAAAAGUCGGUUCCGUACAAUUAAUCAAUUCAUUUCACUUCUAUUGGCUCUACUAUUUAUGCAUGUUACGACAUUUUUUCUCUCUUUCCCUUAUAUUUUGCCUUUAAUAUUAUUGAGUCAAUAUUAAUAAUGGGCCUUUUUCUUAAAAUUAUACUAUUAUACAUAGGUAGUUUGGUCUAACGCUAAAUUCAUGUUUGUCUUUCUUUUAUUCCCUUUACAUCUCAAAGUAUACUAUAGUUUGUAAUCAUUGUGGUGAUGAUAUUACCAGCUGGUACUUAUAGUUUAAGGCAGAGACAUGAUAUUAACAACUAUCUCAUUGAAACAUAAGGAAAAAUCAUGACAAGUGUGAGUCUUGGUUAAUGCACAAUUUGUUAGUGGAAUUUAUAUUUAUAAAACUCAAAAAAAAUUUUUGACAAUGCUAUUACUAAUUAAUUAAGGACUUUAUUGCUAUAACUUAUCGCUUACUAGUUUAAACUAUAAAUGAUCUCAAUACUUUUCUCCAUGAUGUCGAUUUCUUUAGACUACGAAAGGGAAAAAUUAGUGACAUAUCCUCUACUGAUUACAACAUCAGCAAAAAUUAGUUAUAAACUUUUCCGGUGGUUUUAAAUCCCUCGGGCCCUAAGAUUUUUUGCUCAUCGAGUGAAUUAAGGAACAUAGGCAAUUCGUUCUACAUACCAAGUCCUUGUUUAAGAUGCAAGUACUAAAAUGCAUCCACUUCAUUAAUUUGGGAAAUUGCCAUAGUUUUUUUUAAGCAUUUUGAUUUUUUACAUGAUUCAAAAUUUUCUGAUUGGAUACAAUCACUUUGUAUCAAGAACACAUUUUCAAUCACCUUUUUUUAUCUUCUCAAUAAGAAAAUAAAAAUUUAUUCAUGCUUUUCUAACAUAUUCAAUCAUUGAUCUGAAAAUUAAAACAUUAAAAAAAAAGGACAUUUUCAAUCACUGCUUACAGGGCAACUUCCCCAUGUGAACCUCUUCAAACAAAGCCAAUAAUAUGAAGGAAUAUCUAAAUAUACUUUUGCCCUAAAGGCUGGUUGCCUUGGGGUCAAAAUUUAACCUUCCGGAGUAUAAUUACCCUGCCAAAUUUAUUUUUUUUUUAUGGGUAUAUAGUUCCAAUUUUGCCUCCUGUUAAGCUUAUAAAUAUAUUAUCACCCAGAAAAUAAAGGAAUCUUGAAUACUAACAUGUCCAUUGACUUGAGUUGUCAUCAAUUUGGCUACUUCGAUUCCAUGAGGCCAAUCCAAUUCACACUAGCUAGAGAAAAUGGUGACAAAGGCACUUAGAAAAUUAUAUGUAAUAUUGAUUGGUAGUAACCAGCUUGUAUUGAUUGGUAGUAACCAGCUUGUGCUCUUAUGAAAAAAAAAUUAGCAAAAUUUAUGAGAACAAUUAAAUUUAUUCGUACAAAUCAGUCAAAGAAGUAGUAUUUUAAAGACCGUGAUGAAAUUAAUACUUUCAAGGUUUCUAUUAGGAAGACUUCCUUUGUUGGUGAAACUACACUAGGCAGAGUUAUAUGGUAUCAAAAAAUAGUUGUAUUCACGUCUGUUCUUUUUUUCUUCCUUAAGUUUUUUUCUUUAUUCUCGUGACUUCAAAAAUACGAACUCAAGAAAUUGGCUGCUCAAUCAGUAUGUCAUACAGGCUUCGCUAGUGAGGUAUAACUUCACAACUAGAGCCAAUAGAAAUCGUCAAAUGAUUUUUUGACAUCCAAAUUAAGCAAUAAAUUUUGUUUUCAUUUCAUAACAUAUAAUAGUACUACUUCAUGGGAGAUUUUAUAGUUUCUUUAGGGUAUCAUACCUACAAGUGAUAUUUGUCAUUGGAUAGUGAAAGAAGUGUUAAUGACUGUAAGAUUAAAUAUUGUUAAAUAUUGAAAAUUUAAACUAUUUAUCUUUAUUGAGAGAUACAACUUAAAGAAUCCUACCCAAAAGAGACUAUAGAAUUUUCUCUGUUUUUCAUCAUCUGUAGACAUAAAUUUUGCCUAUACAAUGUGAUAGCAUUUUUUCAAAAAGACAAGAUGGAAAAUUGCCCCCCUUGAACGGAAAAUUGCCCCCUUGUCAAUUCUUUAAAAAAGAAUACUCGCUCCUGAACAUAGCCUGUUCAUCUACACUGUCCCGCAGAAUUCUAGAAAGUUAGGCAAAACUAGACUAGUUGACAGGUAUAAUCAUACCCAACAUCAGGAACAAGCAGUUGCACAUUUCAAAAUUCGCUGCUGCAACAACUAAUUUGAUGACUUACAACACUACACGGUCAAACUUUGAAUGGCAAUGGAUCUUUUGAUGUAAUUUUCAUGUUACAUACAUUAAUAGAUUGAUAUCUAUAUUCUUUAAAUUAUCGUAAUAAUACUCUUAAUUACAUUUAAUUGAUAAAAAGAACACGUGUCAACACACAAAAAUGUGUAAUGUGAAUGUUACAUUAGUGUAUAGCAGAAGACCUAUAGUCUCUUCACAUCUCUUCCUGCACGUAUCAAUUCGUUUCCUCUAGAUAAUAAUCUCCCAACUCAUUUCUUUACAAAUGCACCUUUUAUGUUUUAUUACCUCCAAAAGCCUUUACAGGGUCUUUACCCUAAAAAUCAAUUCACCGACUCGCAUUUGAUAUCAGAAAUUCUUAUUACGAAUUCUACUUUACUCAAAGAUUGACUGUUAAUAAUGAGACAACGACCAUUUUGUAUUAUUACACCGUCCUUCUUGAUAGGCAAAAGAAAUAGAGAGGAAAGCGGGUCCGUAUAUGGUCUUUUAUUCAUAGAUAAUACAACAUUACGCCAUCGAGCAUUCACACAAUAUUUCAAAGUCAUUGCAUGCCUAAGACCCUGUUUGAUAAUCCAAUUCCAUACUUAAAUUUAAUGGAUUUAAAUCUUAACACAUUCAAAUCGUUUGAUAACAAAAAAUUGAACAUUUAAAUUAAUUAAGUAACACUGGAUUUCCAAGACAAAACUUGCUCCCAAAAUUAAGUGAUAAGUGAAUAACUUAUCACUGAAUGUAUGUAUUAGAUUUAAUACUUAAUAAUUUAAUAAUUUAAUGAAUUCAGAUUUCAGAUUUCAGAUUUCAGAUUUCAGUUUUCAGUUUUAUCACACACACCCUAAGUUACAAAUUAAUACCAAAACUUGUUAUUAUAUAGCUUGAGAUUCAAAAAUUUAGAGCAUAAUUCUCAACCUAACACAAUUGAAUAAUGAAUAUUCACGAUUGUCAAAACUAUCAAAGUACAAUUUGAGGACAACCCAUUCCAACGCGUACACGAUUUUUAACUUUUCUAAAGUUGUUGAGAGCUGUUGAAAGAGAUUUACCAUGUUUACAUCUUCCAAGUCUUGGGAGUAAAAAAUGAAGCCACUGAGUGCUAUAAAAAGGGGGCUAGAGGCUGCCUAGAAGCAUAUCAGCCUAAAACAAGAAUUUGUAGUAACAAUGGGGAGCAAAGCAAAAGCAACGGAGUCUAGGCUGACUCCUCUUCUUACCACUGUUUUAGUGGUAUUUGUUGCCCUUGGCUUGCCCUUGGAAACUGCAGCUGAUUAUUACAAGUAUUCAUCUCCUCCUCCUCCUCCUUACCACUAUUCCUCACCACCACCUCCUGAGUAUUCACCUCCACCAACCCCUGUUUAUAAGUUACCCCCACCAUCUCCUCCAGUUUACAAGUCCUCACCGCCACCUUACCACUACUCACCACCUCCGGUGUAUUCACCUCCACCAUCACCAGUUUACAAGUCACCGCCACCACCCCCUCCAGUAUACAACUCCCCGCCUCCACCAGUGUACAAAUACAAGUCCCCACCGCCACCUCCUCCAGUUUACAAAUCUCCACCGCCACCAAUUUACAAGUACAAGUCACCCCCACCACCUCCUCCGGUAUACAAGUCUCCUCCGCCACCUGUUUACGAGUACAAGUCUCCUCCACCACCUCCUCCAGUGUACAAGUCUCCACCACCUCCAGUUUACAAGUACAACUCACCACCACCUCCUCCCCCAGUUUACCAAUCUCCACCACCACCAGUUUACAAAUACAACUCACCACCACCUCCUCCCCCAGUUUACCAGUCUCCACCUCCACCCUAUCAUCACUACUACGGUUCUCCUCCUCCUCACCACUACUAAGCAAGUGCAUCUAAGUUUUGAGGUAAUAAUACCUAUCCAAAACUUUAUCAACACAAACUGCCAUGUAUAUCAUGCUAAGGACGUACACUUGAUCCAUGAAAAUGACUUGUAGAAGAUUUUUUUUAAGAACCAAAGAAAUACAUUAUUUUUUCGGUCUGUUUUCAAGAAUUUGAGCAGUAUACAGAUUAAAGAGUGUUUUUUUUUUUAAACUUGCUUAUCAACUUAGAAAUGCACAUAGCUGAAAGCCAACUGAAUAUUUGCAGGCAAAGGAGAAGACAAUCGGUGUUUGCGACCUUCAAGAAGAUGUAGAAGAAUAAGAAUAAAAGCCCAAUGCGAGGAUGAUUCCAAGUUUCUACGUUACCAUUUCUACAUCUAAAUUGACUCUAGCUCCUGAGUUCCAUGUUUAUGGGGUUUGUACCGUUUUACGUACCAUGCAGUGCAUGCUUGUAAGGUUUUCUGUCCUGUUGGCAAACUGCAGGUCCAUAUAAUAAAAGAAUACUAUUUAUAUUACGACACUUUUCUCUCUUUCUCUUAUAUUUUGUCUUUAAUAUUGUUGAUCAUUUUUUUUUAUUUAUCAAAAGUAUCAAAUGUUUAGGUAAUUUGGUCUAAUGCUAAUUGUUUUACUUCUCUUUUUCACCUACACCCCUUUUCAACUCAAAGGAUGCUAUAGUUUGUGAUAAUUGUUUAAGACCGAAGCAUGAUACUAAUAAAUAUCUCAUUGAAAGUCAAGGAAACUAACAUUAUGAAAAGUGUAAAUCUUGAUUUGAUGAAACUAUUUAUUCGUGGAAUUUAGAGAUACAAAACUCAAAUUGUGACGGUGCUGUUGCUAAAUUAUUAAGGACAUUAUCACCACUAUUUUUCCCUUACUAGUUUCAACUGCAAUGAUCUCAAUCUUUUUGUGACUAAUUCUUUUCUUAAUAAUUUAUAAAUACAAAACUCACAAAGAAUAUGUGACUAAUUCUUUCCUUUCGUCUUCUAAAGAAAAUGGCAACUGUUAGUUUAUCAAGGGAAAAAGGAUCGACAUCAGUUGUUAUUGAAACUAGUAAGGAAAAAAUAAUGGUGAUAAUGUCCUUAAUAAUUUAACAACAGCACCAUCAGAAUUUGAGCUUUGUAUCUAUAAAUUCCACGAAUAAAUAGUUUCAUCAAAUCAAGAUUUACACUUUUCAUAAUGUUAAGUUUCCUUGACUUUCAAUGAGAUAUUUAUUAGUAUCAUGCUUCGGUCUUAAACAAUGAUCACAAACUAUAGCAUCCUUUGAGUUGAAAAGCGAAGUAGGUGAAAAAGAGAAGUAAAAAAUACAAUUAGCAUUCCCUCAAAUCGUAGAAAGUUAGGUAGCAUUAUAGACAAGUUGAUAGCCGUAAUGAUACUAAAAAUCAGGCAAAAGCCAGCAAUUUUACAUUUCAAAAUUCACCUAUCCAAUAACUAAUUCGAUGGCUUGCUACAUGGUCAAUCUUUGGACCCCUUCCUGCCACCACAUAUCCCUUUCCUCAAUCAGGGGCUUCUACAAUUACCAGUUCCAAUUGUAUGGUAUAGUGUAAAUAUCAACAAAUCAGAUGUAGACGCUAAUUUAAUAAAUGUGGAUGCUAAGACAACAACAUACAAAAACAUAAUAAAUUUUGGCAUUCCUUAAAAAAAUUAAGUCCCCAAAUCAAUCUCAUACACCCAAUUUCUAAUUUAAUUUAACCCAUUCCCUCUAUUAACUACACCAUACAAUACAAUCGAACCCAUUCCCUUCUAAUUUCUUCACAAAAUGCACCUUUCAUCACCGACAUGAUCUUUACCCUAGAAGACUAUUCACCGACUCUCCAUUGACGUCAGAAAAUCUAAGAGUAAUUCUACUUUACCCUAAGAUUGAUAUCAACGAGACAAUAAUGACAAUUUAGAAUUAUUACACGCCUCUUCUUAAUAGGAAAAAGAAAUACAGAAGAAAGUCAGGCCAGGUCUAAUUCUUUUUCAAAGGCAAUACAAUAUUACGAAAUCAAGCAGUCAUUCAUACAAAUAUUUCAUAGUCACCGGCCGGGGUUUGCUGAGUAGAAAAGUUUAUACAAAAACUUAAUAUUAUAUUGUUUAAGAGUUAACAAUUUAGAGCUUAAUCUCCUUGUACUUUGGACUAAACUCGAACGUGAAAGGAAAUCCCAAAACCAUAUUGGGCAUGAAUUCACACUUAAUAGACCCAAAAGAAGAUGGCGACUGGUGAAAGGCAGUGGAGACUGGUGGAGAGAUUUGAGGAAUAGAAGCAGACGGAAAAGCAACAAAUUUUUGCCGAAAAACGGUCACUUUCAUGGUUAAUUUUGCUACUCUCUAAUUGUACUUGACCAAAUACAACAAUUUCAUGGAGUUUGAUACACAAGCCCAAAUACACGAGAGUGUGUAACCUGAAUUGUUACUUAUACAUUAGUGUGUAAUAGAACGGCAAGCAUUAUGGUGGUCAUUGAGCAACUUAUAGAAGAAAUAGUCCUAUAAGCUGUUCGAUGACCAAUCGCAACUUGCUAAUUGGAUGACUAAUAUAGCUCUAGCUGUAAUGUUUUAAUUAAAUUCCAUCACUAACGUUGGGAUGACUUUUUAACCAAAAAAAAAAAAAAAGCCUUAGUUCAAGCUUUUCCCCUUAUUGUGCAUUUUUUAAAACAUUUGAUAGGCACUGCAAAUCUGUCAUUUUGGACAUCAACCCAUAUCCAACACAAGAUUAAAUUAAUAUUAGAAAAAAUUAUUACGUAAUUGGAAAAAAAAAAAGAAGAGACUAAUUUUCAUUGAAACCCACCGACAAACUAAGCGUGUCCAUAGCUUUUGAUUAGUUCAUUGCCGAUCACAUGGAGUAAAGAUUGUGCUCUUUCCCUUUCCCCCCCUUUUGGAAUCGAUACUGUGGAGAAUUGGCUUUUUCCCUCCUUUUUUUCUUUUCUUUUCUUUUCUUUCCUUCUGUACUUUGCAAAACAUAGGUAAAAAUAUGAAAUCCGAAGCAUUCUUUAAUUGGGAUUAAGUAUUGUUCUUGAAAUUAAAAAAAAAAAGAAAGAAAGAACAACAAAAAUCCCAAUCUGGGUUGAUUGUUGAGCUCUAGAUUGGCUGCAUCGUGCUUCCAUAGAAGUUCUCUUAGUGUGAUACGCUGCUUUCAAUCAGUUUUAACACGGGAAAAAGAAAAGACAUGAAAAGCAAAUUUUGUGGGGAUAAUUUCGGUAACCUCCCCUGAAGUUUUUGACUAUUUUACUGGCCUCCCUUCAGAUUUUAAAAAUUGCACUAAUCUUCCUUAAAGUUAAUUAUCUUGUAACAUUUAGAUCCAAUCAAUAAUUUAAAAAAUGAUAUUAUGAGAGAGAAAAUAAUAUGAUUUUAUCAUUGCCCCCAUCUUACUACAUUAUUUAAUUAAUUUAAUAGCAACCCACACAUUAAAGAAAAAUGCAAAAAUUUGUUGUUUAUCAUUAAAGAUCAUCAUAUCGCAUAUAACAUCAAAAAAUAGUAUAUUAUUUAUAUUUUUCACUUAAUAUAAUAUCCAAAUUACUCUUUUCAGUUACAUACCCAUUGUUAGACAAAAUCAACAACAAAUAACCAAAAAAUUUGCAACCAAAAUAUUACAAAAAAAUAAACUUUAACAUCAUAAAUAUUUUUAUCAACAUAUUAAAGUUAGUUAUUGAAAUUUUUAUGGUGUUAAACUUCACUCUUUGUAAUAUUUUGGUUACAGAUUUUUUUGAUUAUUUGUUGUUGAUCGUGUUUGACAAUGGAUUUGUAACUGAAAAGAACAAUUUGGAUCUUACAUUAAGUGAAAUAUAUAAAAAUAUUAUACUAUUUUUUAUGGCAUAUGUGAUUCUUUUUUUUUUUUUUUUUUUAUCAGAACGGCAACAUUGUAUUAAUAGUAAACCAAUUACAGUAUAGGUGGGCAACCGCCCUCACAAUCUGCCUGGACUUGUUCCAGCAGCCAAACUGGGAAGUUUUCCUUCCAUUCAGUAUUUUGUUCCAAAGUAAUAGCUACUUUAGCUAGUUUAUGGCUAACAAAGUUGUUCACCCUAUUUGCAAAGGUAAAACAACAUUCAUCAAAUUUUAUUCAUGUACAAUUGUUGCUAUCACCACGUCCUCCUCCUCCUCCUCACUGCACACUACUUGACUACCACCCUUCGCCAACCUUGCUGUUGCAUGUGCAACUAUCAUGGCCUCUCUUAGCGCCUUUGCUUCUUCGACCUUUGGACUGGCACAGCUAAAAUUUGGAACAGCCCAGGCCCACCCGCAAUCUUCCCAACCAAUCCCUGGCCACCCUUUUCCCACCCAGCUUCUAUGGCAUGUGUGAUUCAAUCCUUCUUGAUAGGAUUGGUAAUAGAGGCAGAGGGGGGAGCCGGCUGCAUCCGGUCUACUUUUCAUAGAUAGUACAAUAUUGCGAAAUCGAUCGCAUUCACACAAGAAUAUUUCGAAGUCAUUGCAUCGCUAAGUUGCAAAAAAGUACAAACACUUGUUAUUAUAUAGCUUAAGAUUCAAAACUUUAGAGCACAACCCUCCACCUAACACAAUUGAAUAAUGAAUAUUCACGAUUGUCAAAUCUGUCAAAGCACAGUUUGAGGACAACCCAUUCCAACCUGCAAAAGAUUUUUGACUUUUUUAAAGUUGUUGAGAGCUGUAAAAAGACUUACCAUGCUUACAUCUUCCGAGCCUUGGGAGUUAAAAAUGAAGGCACUGAGUGCUAUAAAAAGGGGGCUAGAGGCUGCCUAGAAGCAUAUCAGCCUAAAACAAGAAUUUGUAGUUAUGAUGGGAAGCAAAGCAAAAGCAAUGGGGUCUGGGCUGACUCCUCUUCUUACCACUGUUUUAGUGGUAUUUGUUGCUCUUGGCUUGCCCUCAGAAACUGCAGCUGAUGAUCACUACAAGUAUUCAUCUCCUCCUCCUCCUUACCACUAUCCCUCACCACCACCUCCAGUGCAUUUACCUCCACCAGUGUACAAAUACAAGUCCCCACCACCACCUCAUCAUGUUUACAAGUACAAAUCUCCACCACCCCCACCACCACACCCAGUUUACAAGUAUAAGUCGCCACCACCACCUCCUCAUCCGGUAUACAAGUACAAGUCUCCUCCGCCACCUCCUCAUCCGGUACCACACCCAGUUUACAAGUAUAAGUCACCACCACCACCUCCUCAUCCGGUACCACACCCAGUUUACAAGUAUAAGUCUCCUCCGCCACCAGUUUACAAAUAUAAGUCUCCUCCACCACCACCUCCAGUGUACAAAUACAAGUCUCCACCACCACCAGUUUACCACUACAAGUCUCCACCACCUCCUCCCCCAGUUUACAAAUACAAGUCUCCACCACCACCAGUUUACCACUACAAGUCUCCACCACCUCCUCCCCCAGUUUACAAAUACAAGUCUCCACCACCACCACCACCAGUUUACCACUACAAGUCACCACCACCUCCUCCCCCAGUUUACAAAUACAAGUCUCCACCACCUCCUCACCACUACUAAGCAAUUGCUUCUGAGGUAAUAACACUUGUUCAAUAUACACACUUCUGCAUGAUAAAACAUAUCUCUAUCAACACAAACUGUCAUGUCUAUCAUGCUAAGUGCCUUCACUUCAUCCACGAAAAUGACUGCUAGAAAAUUUUUUUUUAAGUUACCAAAGAAAAGCAUCAUUUUUUCCCUCUGUUAUCAAGAACUUGUACAGUAUGUAGAUUAAAGAGUUUUUAUUUUAACUAGCUUAUCAACUUAGAAAUGCAUAUAACUGAUAGCCAGCUGAAUAUUUGCAGGCAAAGGAGAAGGAAACCAGUGUUUGGACCUUCUUGAAGAUGUAGAAGCAUAAGAAUAAAAGCCCAAUGUGAAGAUGAUGAUUUCAAGUUUUUCUACGUUACCAUUUCUAUAUCUAAAUUCGUUGUAGCGCCUUAGUUCCUUUGUUUAUGGGAUUUGUAUCGUUUUACGUACCAUGCAGUACAUGUCAUGUUUGUAAGGUUUUCUAUCCUGCCGGCAAAUCGCAGGUUCCAUGUAAUAAAUCAAUACUAUUUAUAUUACGACACUUUUCUCUGUUUCUCUUAUAUUUGUUUGGAUUGAGCUUUAUUUCCCCAAAUUUAUUUGCUUACAUCAUCAUUACAAUUUCUAAUACACCUUUUUACCUUCCCGAUUACCUUUUUAUCUCACAUACAUCACAUCACAAAAAGUGCUACAGUAAAAAUAUCUCUAAUAAUUCACAAUCCAAACAGACUUUUGUCUUUAAUAUUCUUAAUCAUAUUUUUAACAAAAAUAUUCAAAUACUUAGGUAAUCUGGUCUAAUGCUAAUUGUAUGUUUUACUUUUCUUUUUCACCUGCUCCCCUUUUCAACUCAAACGGAUGCAAUAGUUUGUGAUCCCUGUUUAAGACGGAAGCAUGAUACUAAUGAAUAUAUCAUUGAAACUCAAGGAAACUAACAUUAUGAAAAGUGUAAAUCUUGAUUUGAUGCAACUAUUUAUUCGUGGAAUAUAUAGUUACAAAACUCAAAUUCUGACUGCGCCAUUGAUAAAUUAUUAAUGACGCUAUCAUCAUUAUUUAUCCCUAACUAGUUUCGACUACAACUGAACCCAAUAUUUUCCCCAUGAUAAAAGUUUUUGACUAUUUUACUGGCCUCUCUUCAAAUUUUAAAAAUUACACUAAUCUUCAUUGAGAUUAAUUAUCUUGUAACAUUUAGUUCCGAUCAAGAAUUUAAAAAUGAUAUUAUGAGAGAAAAAAUAAUAUAAUUUUAUCAUUGCCCCCCAUCUUGCUAUAUUAUUUAAUAAAUUUAAUAGCAACCCACACAUUAAAGAAAAAUACUAAAAUUUGCUACUUUUCAUUAAAGAUCAAAUUGCAUAUGCCAUAAAACAUAGUAUAUCAUUCUAUGUGUUUCACCUAAUGUAAGAUCCCAAUUGUUAUUUUCAAUUACAAACCCAUUGUCAAACAUGAUCAACAACAAAUAACCAAAAAAUUUGCAACCAAAAUAUUACAAAAAAAAAUAAACUUUAACAUCAUAAAUAUUCUUACCACCUCCAGUGCAUUCACCCUCACCAACCACUAGUUUACAAGUCACCCCCACCACCUUACCACUAUUCCUCACCGCCACCCACAGUGCAUUCACCUCCACCACCACCUGUUUAUAAGUCACCUCCACCACCUUAUCAUUAUUCGUCACCACCAUCUGCAUUGCUUUCACCUCCAUCAUCACCAGUUUACAAAUCACCACCACCAUCUUCCCCAGUGUACAAGUCCCCUCCACCACCAAUUUACAAGUCUCCGCCGCUAUGUCCCCCAGUAUAUAAGUCAUCCCCACCACCGCCUCCAAUGUACAAGUCUCCGCCGACACCAAUCUACAAGUACAAUUCACCACCACCCAUGCCUCCAGUUUACAACUCCUUGCCACCACCUAUUUACAAACACAAGUCUCCCCCACCACUUCCUCCGGUAUACAAGUCAUCUCCACUGCAUCCUCCAAUUUAUGAGUCUCCUCGUCCACCAGUUUACGAGCACAAGUCUCCUCCACCGCCUCCUCCAGUAUAUAAGUCACCACCACUAUCUCCUCCAGUACAUGUCUCCACCACCGCCUAUUUACAAAUCUCCGCCUCCUCCAGUUUACAAUUCCCCACCACCACCAAUAUACAAGUCUCCACCUUCAUCCAACCAUUACUACUAUAAUACUCCUCCUCCUCCUUCGCACUACUGAGGAAUUGCAUCCAAGUUUUGAGGUAAUAACGCGUAACCAGUAUAAACUUUUGUAUGAUAAACCUUAUCCCGAUCAACACAAACUGCCAUGUGUAUCAUGCUAAGUACGUACGCUUAGAUCCAUGAAAAUGACUAGUAGAAGGUUAUCCUAAGAACCAAGGAACAUUAGUUUUCCCUCUGUUUCCAAAAACUUGUGUUUGUUUAACAUGCUUAUCAACUUGGAAAUGCGCAUUGCUAAUAGCCAACUGAAAUUUUUGCAGGCAAAUUGGGAAGAGAAUCAGUGUUUGAGCGGUUCAUGGAAGAAUAAGAAUAAAAGCCCAAUGCGAGGAUGUUCUCAAGUUUAUUAAUGUUUCCGUUCUAUUUUGUAAAUUGAUUUUUGCGACUUAAUUAAUUCCCUGUUUGUGGGGUUCGUGUUGUUUUACCUACAUGCCAUACAUGUUUGUAAUGAUUUUUAUUGCAAAAUGCCGGUCCAAUAAAAUAACUGUAUUCAUUUUGUGUCUUUUGAGUAAACUUCUAUUGGUUCUACUACUUAUUUUACGAUAUUUUUUUUCUCUCUUUCUCUUACAUUUUCCGUUUAAUAUUAUUGAUAAUUUUUUUAACAAAAAAGGUUGAUAUACUUAGGUAGUUCACUAGUUUGGUCUAAUCCUAACUUCAGGCUUGUCUUGUCUUUUAUCUCUACAUACCUUUUCAACUCAAAGGAUGCUACUAUAAUUUGUGAUCAUUGUAGUGGUGAUAUUCCGAGCUAUUACAUAUAAUUUAAGGCAGAGAUUUGAUCCUAGCGAGUAUCUCACUGACAGAUUAGGAAACAUCAUGAAAAGCGUAUAUCUUGAAUUAGUGCAACUAUUUCUUAGGGGAAUUUAUAGUUACAAAAUUCCAAAUUUUGAGAUUCUAUUACUGAUUAAUUAAGGACGUUAUCACUAUUUUUUUUUAAUUAUCACCAUUAAAUACCCCACAUACUAUAAGUUUUUUUAGGGCACAGGAAAAGAGGUGGGCCGAUGUUUAGUUAUCUACAAAAGUUCAAAUUUUGUAGAUAAAUUAUCAUGCGCCCUUAAAGAGUGCAGAAUACCAAAAAAAAAAAAAAAAAAAAAUCAUAUACUAUAACUAAUCCUAAUAUUUUUCCCUACGAUAAACUAACUCUUAUCCAUUUCUUUAGAUGAUGAAAGGAAAUAGUUAGUCACAUAUCCUCUAGUGAUUACAACAGCAUCAAAACAAAUUAGCACUCUUUUCCCGUAGUUUAAAAAUCCCUCAGCCACUAAGAUUUUGCAUAUCGAACGAAUUAAGGAACAUAGGCGCUUCGUGCUGGACAACAGUGUCCUUGUUGACGAUGCAUCCGCAUAUACUUCCUUAAGCAUUUUGAUUAUUUUAUGAUUCGAAUUUUUCUUGUCUGACAGCUGGACUUAAUUGAAAAACUCAAGUAAUAAUAUUCCAAAGCUGAUUCGUCAAAGUUUACCCAAUUGGUGAAACUUUCUUAAUAGAGCUGACUUUGUAUUACGUGACAAUGAUAUGGAUGCUCAAAGUUUUCAAUGGGAAAUUUAUAUGAGCUUUUCACGACAAAAUGUGUUCCGAUAAAGGUUCAUUCCAGAGGUUAAAAUUUUGUUUGUUAAAAAUUUACUUCUCAAGUCUUUGAUGCGAAAGUCUUGGUAUUUCCAAAAAGUCUUGAAAUCGCAGCAUAUAAGCCACUUUCUGUUCUCUUUUUUUCAUUGAAGUCUUUCCAAAUGUCAGUUCCAAAAGGAGUUUUUUAUGAAUUAUGAUAGAUAAUUAAUCUGACGGUCCAUAUAUAUGUGAUUUGCAAGAGGGUGUUUGGCGAAAUGGUUAGGCUUUCUAAGUAAUGAUAGGAAUGCCAUUUGCAAAGAAGGACAGGGGGCCUGUGCUGUCAUAUUUUAUGCGAUUUGAUCCGUUGUUGUAUAAGUUUAAAUUUUUGACGUGCAAUUGUGCUACAAUAUUAUACUAAAUAUAUGUGUGAAAUAUUUUGUCUAUAUACAUCACUUUUAUCGUGAAUACAACAGCUGAGUAUAAUAAUAUAAUAUAAUGUAAUUAUACACCAAAUAAUGUAACAAAUAUAACAAUCGAUCUGAAUUACACGAAAUCAUAACAACAAGAUCACCGCCUCCCAAAUUUUACAAAAUAAGGUUUUUUUUUUCUUUUAGAUUAUUGAAAAUUUUCAAAAAUAUUCUACAUAAUUUAAAUUUUUGUCCUACAAAAAUUAAAAGAGAUUUUAUAUUGCACGCUUAAGCUUAGAUAUAUUAAAGUUUGCCCCCAAGAUUAAUUUUCCGUUUUUAUCUAUGGUUUCUCAUCUAUGAGCCGAUCCAUAUAGCUAGUUAGACUGUACUCCUCACAUUUGUGGGAUUUGACACCCAAGAUUCUCCUUCUUGGAAUGUAAAAUGUAGAUCUUCUAUGUUAAUAAUUCAGGACCCAACUGUCAUAAACGAAAUGACUGAUCAACUCCUGUAAAUCUAAUUUAACAACAUUUAAAUGGAGAACUUUAGCUAAAAGAAUUAUGGUUAUUUUCCAACAUAUGCAAUCAUUGAUCAGAAUAUAUAUAUAUAUAUGUAAAAGACAUCUUCAGUCAUUUCAUAGCUUACCAGGCAAAUUAACCCCUAAGUGAACCUCUUCGAACAGAACUGACAAUAUGGAUGAAGAUCUGGAUAUUCUUUUAUCCUGACUCCUAAGGGAAAACUGGUUGAUCUAGAAUCAAAAUUUUACCCUAGUUACCCAGGCAACUUUUUUGUUGCCUUUUUUUUUUUUGGUAUAAAGCUCCAAUUUUGCUCCCUCUGUUAAGCUUAUAAUGCAUAUAAUUAUUAAGAUAAUAAAAGUGCCUUGAAUAGUAUUAAUAUAUGCAUUGACUUGAGCUGUCAUCAGUUCGGCCACUUCGAUUCCAUGAGGCCUUUUCAAUUCACACUAGCUAGAAAAUGGGGAGUCGUGAAAACCUUUUGUUCUAUUCAUUGCUAAGAUGCUUUUCUCUAUAAAGAGACUUCCUAACGAAAAUACUUUGUAGAUUUCUUUACUCCAAGUGGUGCAUGAAAAAUUAAUAUUUUCAAUUAACAAAUAAAAUUCCCUUUUUUUGGUGUAGAUUUCAUCCAUCCAGCUGUUAACACAUUCUAUAAAUCCGAAUUGACUAAUCUUUUCAUUUCCAUUUUCCAACUUGCGAAUACGGCAUCUUAUAUAAUGUCUGCUAAACACUAUAUAUUCUCUGCCAAAUAUGAAUACAUAUCACUUUUCUGAGCAAGUGCAGAGUCAUUAUCAUUUUUAUUCCCACAUAACAAAUUAGUGGUUGAGCAUCUUUACAUGCUAUCAGGUCACAAGUUAAUAAUCUUUUAAAGAACAUGUUAAAUUAAUUUAUUGGUAUGAAUAGUCAAAGAAGUAUGUUAAAGUUAGCAAUCUUUAAAAUAAUAUGUUAAAAUCAUUAGUACAAAUUAGUCAGAGAAGUAGCAUAAACACCACGAUGCAAUUAAUACUUUCAAUCUCAAGGUCUCUCUUACGGAAAUUUGCAUCGGUCAACAUACACAAAGCAUAAUUGUAUGCACGUCUCUCUAUCAUGGAAUUUGCAUAGGUCAAUAUACACUUGGCAUAGUUGAUAGUUGUAUGCGCGUAGGCAUGGCCAUGGUUCCAUUUGGAACUGGGAAUCAGACCGAAACCGGAUCGUUUGGAACCAGAUCAGAACCGGAAUCAAAACCAUGAAACCAGAACCGUGAUAGAACCUUGGAUAAAGGUUCCGGUUCUGGUUCUCUAAAAAAUAGAACCAGAACCAGAACCGUUAAAAAUAAUUAAUAUAAGUGGUGAGAUAAUUCAAAAAAAAUUAGUUGUGUUUAAUAGGUUUUAAGAAAGUUUAAAUUUUAUGGACUUUCUAUAUAUUUUAUUAAUUAUUUAAUUCUUUCUAUUCAUCUAAUAUUUAUCAUUAUAAUUUGCAAGUAUUAAAUUAUUACUUAAAAUUUUUUUUUUUUUUUGCUUAUUUGCUAUCAAAUGACAAGUUUUGAUGGUAGUAGCUCAUCUUCAAAAUCAAGCAAGCAAAAAAAUAUUUUUUGCAAUAUUUCUUCAAAUGGAAUCUUCAACAUUGAUGAUUGUCCAACUCAAGAAAGUCAACAUAUGACAACCAUUUGAUAGUGUAAUGUAUUUUUUAAUUUGACAAUGUAAUGUACUUUUCAUAAAAUUUAUAUUAUCUAUUUAUUACUUCUUACUUUGUAGAAUAAUAAUAAAAUUAAAAUAUGAUCUUUAUUUUGUAUUUAUUUUUUUACGUUUUAUUUGAAAUUUUAAAUAUAUUGUUAUAUUCGUAUUAAAAUUGGUAAGGAUAAGGAAUUAAAUAAAAUUGUAUAUAACCAUACAGAACCGGAAACCGGAACCAGAACUAUAAGGAACCAAAAUCAGAACUAUGCGGUUCUGGUUCUACCUCUUUGAAGAACCAGAACCAGAACCAUUUUAUAUGGUGCGGUUCUGGUUCUACCUUUUUUAAGAACCAGAACCGGCGGUUCUAGAACCGUGGUCAUGCCUAUAUGCACGUCUUUUAUUUUAUUUUAUUUUAUUUUUUGGUACUGUUCUUCCUUGCUUUAUAGUAUGCACGUUUAUUUCUUUGGAUUGCUUAAGAUUAUAUUGUUAAUAAUAGGGCAUUUAACCAUAAAUUAUAAUAAUUAUGAAGUAAUAUAUAUUAGAAAAUUAACACAAUUAUGAUUUUUUUUUUUUGUAAAUUCAAAUUUUAUUAAUAAGAAAUGAAAUAGACCGUAAGCAAAAACAAAAUCCUACAACAACUCUAGGACUCUACACCUUAUAUAAAAAAAAACUAGGACUCUAUACCUCAGAGAAGCUAAACAAUCCAACAAAUAAAAUGCAAAAUAAAUCACAAUAACGCAAAUUAUGUUAAGCUAAUAAAUACUACCAUGCAACAAAAUUUUUGUCUUUGUCCCGCGUGAAACUACGAAGUCAAGAAUUGACUCCUUUAACCAGUAUUGCCAGCGGGGCUCCGUCAGCAAGAUACAACUUUGCAAUUUUAUACAAUAGAAAUCCUCAAAUAGCUAUUUUGACAGGCAAAUUAAGCAUUAAUUUUGGUAUCCCUUCAUAAAAUACAAGAGUACUUUUGAUUAUAUCUAUAGAUCAACUUUCUAGGCUUGAUGUAUUAUAAGAAAAAUCUGCCUAAACAUUUUGAUAGCAUUUUUCCAAAAGCAGAAGAUGGAAAAUUGCCCAUUUGUAAUGGGGAGUUCGUGAUCUUUUCCUCAUUCUAGUCUACUUACAAUUCUUGGAAAAAGGAAUACUCACAUCUCAAACAACAGCCAGCUCAUCUGCGCUGUCCUGCAGAAUUCUAGAAAGUUAGGUGGCAAUGUUAAUAACAUUUCAAAAUUGACUGCUGCGAUAACUAAUUCGAUGGCUUACUACAUGGUCAACGUUUGGAUCCCUUCCUGCCGGCACUGUCCUUUUUGGAUGCACAUUUUUUUUCUCUAGGUAAUAUAAUCACCCAACUCAUUUCUUUACAAAUGCACCUUUAAUCACCACCAAAAGGUGUGGACAUGAUCUUUACCCUAGAAAACUAUUCACCGACAGGCAAAUUGACGUCAGAAAUACUAAGAGGAAUUCUAGUUUCCUUCGGGUUAAUGCCAUUUUGUACCCUUCAACUGUAACUCGAUUUCUAAGCUGUAAUUUGUGACAUUAUAGUCCUUAAACUAUGAAACCCUUCUUACUUAAGUAUAAUGGUUAAUACAAUACUGGUGAUUAGACAAGUAUGAAGCAACCAUAACAAAAAAAAAUCCAAAAUUAGAGAAAAGAAAGAUGUUUCGCGACCAAAGUAUGUAUCAAGGCAUAGUAUAGAAAUAAAAGUGUCAAAAUUAAGAGUUUAGGGAUAAAAAAGAAUCAAGAUAUAGUUUAGGGAUUGAUUUGUCUCAAUUAGAGCUUAGGUGUCAACUAAGAAGAGAGAUAUAGUUGAAGGGUAGAAUAUAGAUAUAAAGGUUCAAUGAUUGAUAUCAGUGAGACAAUGAUAACUUUGGAUUAUUACCAACCUCUUCUGGAUGGGAAAAGGAAAUAGAGAAGAAAGUCGGGCCUGGUCUAAGCCUGUUUCGGAGGCAAAACAACAUUAUGAAAUCACCGGCAUUCAGACAAAUAUGUCAAAGUCACCGGCAUGCUAAGUUGCAAAAUUUAUACAAACACUUAAUAUUAUAUUGUUCUUAAAAUUUUUGUUUAAGAUUUAACAAUUAGAGCACGGUACACGAAUUAGAAAUAUUAAAUAAUGAAUGUUCACGAUUGAUAAAGUUAUCAAAGUACAGUUUGAGGACAACCCAUUCCAACGUGUACAAGAUGUUUAGCCUUUGAAAAGUUAAUUAGAGAAGGUGACGAGAUUUUACGAGGCUGACAUCAUCUAGGCCUCGAGAGUAAAAAAUGAAGACACUGAGCGCUAUAAAAAGAGGGCUAGAUGUUGCCUAGAAGCAUAUCAGCCUCAGACCACGUUUUGUAGCAAUGGGGAGCAAAGCAAAAGCAAUGGGGUCUAGGCUGACUCCUCUUCUUACCACCGUUUUAGUGGUAUUUCUUGCUCUUGGCUUGCCUUCAGAAACUGCAGCUGAUUACUACAAGUAUUCAUCUCCUCCUCCUCCUUACCAUUAUUCCUCACCACCACCUCCUAUGCAUUCACCCCCACCACCGCCAGUUUAUAAGUCACCCCCACCACCUUACCACUACUCCUCACCGCCACCUCCAGUGUAUUCAUUUCCACCACCUUUGCCAAUAUACAAGUCUCCGCCACCACCUUACCAUUAUUCCUCACCACCACCCCCAGUGCAUUCACCCCCACCACCACCAGUUUACAAGUCUCCCCCACCACCUUACCAGUAUUCCUCACCACCACCUCCGGUGCAUUCACCACCACCUCCUCCAGUUUACAAGUCCCCGCCACCACCUUACCAUUAUUCCUCACCACCACUUCCAGUGCAUUCACCUCCACCAUCACCGAUUUACAAGUCUCCACCACCACCUUACCAAUAUUCCUCACCACCACCUCCACUGCAUUCACCUCCACCACCACCGAUUUACAAGUCACCUCUACCGCCUCUUCCAGUUUACAAGUCUCCGCCACCACCUUACCACUAUUCCUCACCACCACCUCCGGUGCAUUCACCUCCACCACCACCGGUUUACAAGUCACCUCCACCACCUCCUCCAGUUUACAAGUCCCCGCCACCACCUUACCAUUAUUCCUCACCACCACCUCCGGUGCAUUCACCUCCACCACCACCGGUUUACAAGUCACCUCCACCACCACCUCCAGUUUACAAGUCCCCGCCACCACCUUACCAUUAUUCCUCACCACCAACUCCAGUGCAUUCACCCCCAUCACCACCAGUUUACAAGUCUCCGCCACCACCUUACCAUUAUUCCUCACCACCAUCUCCGGUAAAUUCACCUCCACCACCACCGGUUUACAAGUCACCUCCACCACCUCUUCCAAUUUACAAGUCCCCGCCACCACCUUACCACUAUUCCUCACCACCACCUCCAGUGCAUUCACCCCUACCACCACCUGAUAGGGUAUAAUUUGUUAGUAUUUUUAUUAUUAAUUUUCCCUUCUAUCCCUGACAAAUAUUGUGUUAAUUGCUGAUAUUUACUCAUAUUUGGUAUUUGGAAUCAAUUUCAGGAAUGAAGCAGAAAACUACCAAAAAGGAGGGACUUUGUGAAAAAUAUGGAGACUUCUAAGGGCUUCAAUCCUUGGGCCCUUGAAUUGGUGGGGGACCACAAGCUAGUGAAAGGCAUUUGGUCAUUUGGGCUUCAAAGAAAGCAACGUAGAGAGACUUGGAACAAGAAGUACUUGGGAGGCUUUGUCCACAUGUGUGGGGACCACCUAGAUAGCUUUUAGUCAUCUUUCUUUUGUUGCUUUAAAAGGGGACAACGUACAGAAGCAAAAGAUAUCUAGGGCUUUAGUUUUAGUUUUUAGUUUAGUUCUAGUUUUCUUUCUUUGGACUGGCCUCUGACACACGCCAGGUAUUCGACAAUAUUCCCCAACGGGGAGAUUUUCUCAUGAGGCGUGGUUAAGCUUUUCAAGGGGACACUGACGAUUUGGUUCAAUUUACUGUGAGAUCGAAUCUGUUUUAUUUUUUUCUUCAUUUUGGUUUUUAUAUGUUCCUUGAUUUUAAUUGCUAUGGCCUUGUGUAUGAUUGAUUAGUGCACAAUAAUUAAUUAUUCAUAUAGGCUAUUUUUGCUAAAUAGGGGUAAUUGAAUCCGUAAUUGUUCGUUAUCUCUACCUCAGUAGCAACUGGCGUAAUUGGGUUUAUGUCAGGGGAGCAUAUGAUCUAAUUUAAACAAACCCUCGUAGCGUAUUUGUUGGUUAGGAUUGGGCCUUUCUAAUUAUUAUGCAAUCUAGAAAUUAAAUCCUACGGUCGUACCUAGGGUUAUUUUUGGGUUAGAGAAAUAGCUAACGGUCGUACCUUAGCUAUCGAGAAAUUAAGGAAGGGUUGGUUGUUUAUCGCGUGCAUGACAACUAUAACUAAUCUAUUGCUAAAUGUUGGAAUUAUUUCUGCAUCAAUGAUCAGUGCCUGAACCAUUUCUGAAGUGUACCCUUGGCUAGAGUUUCUCUUAAUUAUUUCUUUUAAUCAAUUAUUUUCUGCACUUGAUUUAUUUAGUUAGCAUUUAAUCCAAGAACCUCCCAUACUCUGGACUCUAGAAGAAACGAAUUAUCCCCAAUCCCUGUGGAUUCGACCCUGCUCGCCGCUAUAUACAAAAUCUGUAUUUUUCUUGAGUAGGUAAUUAUUAUUGCACAGGUUCGGCACCUGUCACCACCAGUUUACAAGUCUCCGCCACCACCUUACCAUUAUUCCCCACUACCACCUCAAACGCAUUCACUCCCACCACCAGUUUACAAGUCACCGCCACCACGUUCUCCAGUAUACAAAUCACCUCCACCACCUCCUCUAGUUUACAAAUCUCCACCACCAUCAAUUGAUAAAUACAAGUCUCCUCCAGUGUACAAGUCAUCUCCACCACCUGCUUACAAGUCUCCACCUCCUUCAGUUUACAGUUCCCCACCACCACCAAUCUACAAGUCUCCACCUCCACCCUACCAUUACUACUACAAUUCUCCUUCUCCUCCUCCUCCUUCUCACUACUAAGCAGUUGUAUCCAAGUUUUUGAGGUAAUAACGCUUAACCAAUAAAUUAACUUUCGCAUGAUAAACCUUAUCCCUAUCAAGACAAACUGCCAUGUGUAUCAUGGCAAAUCCGUACACUUAGAUCCAUGAAAAUGAGUGGUAGAAGGUUUUCUUAAGAACCAAGGAACAGCAAUAGUAUUCCCACUGCUUCCAAAAACUUGUGUAUUAAAUAGAUUAACGAAUUGUUUAACAUGCUUAUCUACUUGAAAAUGCACAAUACCCAUAACCCAUUGAAAUUUUUGCAGGAAAAGGGGAAGAGAAUCUGUGUUUGAGAGCUUCAUGAAGAUGUUGAAGAAUAAGAAUAAAAGCCCAAUGCGAGGAUGUUUUCAAGUUUUUCUAUGUUUCCACUUUAAUUUGUAAAUUGAAUUUUGCGACUCAAUUAAUUCCCUGUUUGUGGGGUACAUAUUGUUUUACGUACCAUGCCGUACAUGUUUGUAAGGAUUUCUAUCCUAUUGGCAAAAGUCGGUUCCAUACAAUUAAUCAAUUCAUUUCACUUCUAUUGGCUCUACUAUUUAUGCAUGUUACGACAUUUUUUCUCUCUUUCCCUUAUAUUUUGCCUUUAAUAUUAUUGAGUCAAUAGUAAAAUUAUACUAUUAUAAAUAGGUAGUUUGGUCUAACGCUAAAUUCAUGUUUGUCUUUCUUUUAUUCCCUUUACAUCUCAAAGUAUACCAUAGUUUGUGAUCAUUGUGGUGAUGAUACACUACAACAAAAAUGGCCUUUCCUGACAUGUCUAUAAGGACACUUGCUGGUUUUUGUCAUUAUAGCACUUCUAUCAUGACAUUUGUUAUCAAUUCACUAAUUUAUACUUUUUUUUAUUUUAUCUGAUAUAAAAAUAAUAAUGUGUCUUUAGAUUUCCUAUCAUGGCAUUUUAGAAAAUGUGAGAUACAACGAAAAAAUUAAAACAUAAAACGAUGUCGUUUGAUUUUGACGGAAGAUUCAUUUGCCAAAACACUUAGUGAAAUCUCAAAACUUUCAUUGUGUCGAUUCUUCUCCUCUCUCUCACAAACCCUCUCUCUCGGCAGACUAUCUCUCAAAACUCCCCCAUUUUGGUUCUUUUGUCUUCCGCCUUCGCCGCCGCCCCACUCCUCCAUUUUCGGUUGCUAACUUGGCCGCUUCUCUGCCCUAUUCGGUCAACCACGACACCUACACCAAUAAGUCUUCGCUCUCUUUGCUAGGACAAAAGGAAUAAAAAAACAGAUACUCAUGUUCUUUCCUUUUUCUUCUUUCCUCUGAAACCGAUCCCCAUGCUUCUCCGUACUGACUAGAUAUUCAGGUUGAGCGUGUUGAGGAGUAGAGUAGGCGAAGGUUGCCGCCAUCGUCUCAUUGAAGUCCAGCCACUACAGCGGAAAUCAUCACUGUAAAGUUUCCCGUACUCUUAUACCUUUUUUCCCCCUUAAUUGUAUUGUUUUCUUCUUUGUCUGCAAUCAUGUCGGUUAUGCUUUACUUUCGUCUUGUUAAUCGAUUUUAAGUGGCUGGAAUUGAUCAUAGGUUUGAGUAGAGUUUUAGAUUUAAAAUUCAAGCUCAGGCCGUAUAAGGAACUGAUGAAAAAGAAAUUUCAAAACUUUUCAUCCUCACUACUUGUUUGUCGGAAGGUUCGAAUGAAGAAAGAAGGAAAUUUGCAAUGGAAGUGAACAGAGAGAGAUGAAAGUGAUUGGAGAGUGAAAUUUUGCCUUGGUGAACUUUUCUUUUGUUUUUGAUCAUCAAGUGCAAUAGAAAAGUACAUUUAGUACAAUUUCCUAACUAUCUUAGAGGAAAUCUUGUUUGGAACUUUCGCUGGAUGCUAUGCAACUUAUUUUUGAUGCUUUGGUCAUGAUUGUUGUUCUGUUUGCUACAGCCCCAUAAGAAGGUUUUUUUUUAAUUAUUAUUAAAAAUUACCGCAUAGCUUGGAUACUUUUGCAUUCCAUGCACCAUGUCAGCUAUUCAUAGCACAUAGCACUAAAGUAGAGCACUCUGUAAUUUUGGAGAUGUUUCAUCUACGCAUUCAAUUAUUUCGAGUUUUUAGUCCAAUGGGUAAUAAAUUGGUUGUACAUCACUUAUUAUGUUGCAUCCCAGUUAUAUUGACCUAGAACAAUUACCAUAUAGACAAAAAGAAGAUAUUAACUGCAGCAAAUUGAAGAAUAAAAAGAGUAUUUGUCAAAUCUUUUCUCCCAACAUCCCUCGUAAUUCUUUCCCCCAACCUCAACUUAGGCACACAUUGUGUCUCUCCUUUUCUUCUUCAAACUAAAUGUUCUUCUCAUGGACAAAUAAGAAUAAUUUGAAUUUAUGAGGAUACAGAGGAAGAGAAUGAAGAUGGAGAAGUUAAUUGUUAUAACUCCAGUUAUGAUAAAGUUGAAGAUGACUUUACAUAAGAUGGAUUAAGUGACUAGUGCUCUAUUGUAAGAUGCUGGGUGCAUAUCUUAAUUUCUUUGAAUUGACUUUAUAUCUCAAAAAAAAAAAAAAUUGAAGGGAUUCUAUAUUUAUUUGACUUGUGUGGUAUUUAUUUGUGUGACUGUCUUGUUUUUUGUCUGCUUUUAUGAUCUAGAGCAUUGAUUACUCUAUAUUUUUAGACAAGAAUAUAUUGUUUUUGUUGUAGAAUUUCUGUAGAAAAAAUACAGAUCUUGCACAUUAAACCCAAUGGGGACUGUUUGCACUAUAAUGCAUUAUGGGCAACUAACAAAUUGGGAUUUGCUAGCCAUUCAAUAUUUUGUAAAUCCUCUGCAGUGUAACAUACUGGAAAUUGCCUUUCAGUUACAGUCUCCAGCGAAGUGUCCUGAUUUAGUCUUUCAAGUUGGAAUGUGACUAAUAGUUUCUUAUCUUUUAAAAGUUUGCCAAUUUCAGGAGGAUUGGUUACAUAGUUUUUUAAGAUUUCUUUCCUCCAGUGGGCACUUAAAAAAAUAGUGAUUAUUGAGUGCUUUGAUCUGUUGAAAUUUAAUUGAAAAUUUUCCGAUCAUUAAUUGACACACUUCAAAAUACUAAUGACUACAUAUGUCAAAGCACAACCUAGGAAAUUAUAUCAGCACGUGCUCCGAUUGUAUGGUACUAAACUUGCAGUGCUUCCACAAAGAAUGUGAAGAGCACAUAUAUACUGAUCAUUGAAAAGAUAGAUUUCUAUUAUGAUUCUGCUAAUGUUUGAAGCACUAAAUGUGAAAUUGCUAUCUAUUUUGAAUGAGUAUCUGUUUCUAUGAAAACUUUGGACAAAUAUGCAUAUGACAAUAGUUUCUAAUGAAGUUACAAACGAUGCUGAACCUUUGGCAUUAUACCAAGAAGGUGUUAAUCAAGUUAACUGGUUACACUUCUAAGCCCUUGCCUGUGGGCAGAAUCUGAGCUAGCUUUAUUCAUUUGUAGCAAGAAGUAAUUUUGCAUGCCAAUGCCAUGCAUUGUUGACUAACCUGUCGCAUUCAGUGUUUGGACAGGUGGGAGUAUAUUGGCGGCACUUGGUUCCUUUCAGCAAAUUUGGUUUUCAAAAUCUGAGUAAGCUUUUACAUCUACUCUACCUUUCAAUAUUCAACUUUUCUUCUUUUUUUCUCCCCAUUUUCAGUCUGUUUUAUCUCUCGAUUAAUAGGUUUGAGGAACAUGGAACUUCUUAUGUUCAAAGAAAAUGCCCGUAAAGUACUUUACUGGUGCGGACAAUUAUCACAUUAGACAGAAAUUCAUGGAGCUGACUUCACUUUGAUUAGUUCGCUGACGGUAUGGGUUGCUCGGUUUUAAUAUCCUGCUUUAUAGGAGCCCAAGCAAUGUACUAUAUAUAUACUAUACCUCUCGCGGAUCGUUGCUAAUGUUGUACAAUUACGUUACCUGACUUUUAGCAUUUCUUUCAACUGGUUAGGGAUGAGAGUCUUUUUGUUUGUGCACAAGAAAGUCUUUCAAGUUAUUGUAAAUGAGAAUCUUUCGGUAAUUUUUUGGGAUUUUAGUACUUGCUUUGAGCAUUUGUUUGCGAUUUUAGUACUUGCUAUGUUUGUACUUGUUAUUGACUUUUAAUUCAAUGAAUUAUAUUUGAGUAUCGACUUCUUCUUUUAAAUUGCUAUAUGCAUUCUGCCUUUUGGGAUAAUUUUACAAGUCCCUUGGGAUUCUGGUUGAUGGAAUGUACAGCAGGGAGGACUAAUUACAGGUUGCUUCCAUAUGAAAAAAAAACAGGAAAAAACUCCUGGCAAUUAGAAGUGUCAGCAUAGCUUAGCUUCAAAAAACACUAAUGACAAAUGGGCAUGUCAUCCAAAGCAGUGUAAAUUCACAUGGCUACGUGUCCUUAAAGCCAUAUAUUAAGACAAUUCAAGAUGCCUUCAUAAAUUGGAUAUACUACUAAUCCGCUACUGAUGUUCUAAUGCUAUACGGACACUUUCGAUUAUCACAAAAAAAAGUUUUUGUUGGCAGAGGGAAUGCUAUAGCAGCAUGGUUUUCCUGACACAUUUGAAUGUUGCCAAAGAUUUGAGGCUAUCCCCACAUUGGAAGGGACAACACUCGCCCUAGGUGUGAGGAUAGAUAAAAUGUCAGGUUAGAUUAUCUAUACUGACACCUUUAAAUGCCGCUAAAGGCCAUUUUUGUUAUAGUGAUAUUACCGGCUGGUACAUAUAGUUUAAGGCAAAGACAUGAUAUUAACCUAUCUCAUUGAAACAUAAGGAAAAAUCAUGACAAGUGUGAGUCUUGGAUAAUGCACAAUUUGUAAGUGGAAUUUAUACUUAUAAAACUCAAAAAAAAAAUUUCACAAUGCUAUUACUAAUUAAUUAAGGACUUUAUUGCUAUAAUUUAUCGCUUACUAGUUUAAACUGUAAAUGAUCUCAAUAUUUUUCUCCGUGAUGUCGAUUUCUUUAGACUACGAAAGGGAAAAAUUAGUGACGUAUCCCCUACUUAGUUAUAAACUUUUCCAGUGGUUUUAAAUCCCUCGGGCUAAGGACGUACACUUGAUCCAUGAAAAUGACUAGUAGAAGAUUUUUUUUAAGAAUCAAAGAAAUGCAUUAUUUUUUCGGUCUGUUUUCAAGAAUUUGAGCAGUAUACAGAUUAAAGAGUGUUUUUUUUUAAACUUGCUUAUCAACAUAGAAAUGCACAUAGCUGAAAGCCAACUGAAUAUUUGCAGGCAAAGGAGAAGGCAAUCGGUGUUUGAGACCGUCAAGAAGAUGUAGAAGAAUAAGAAUAAAAGCCCAAUGCGAGGAUGAUUCCAAGUUUCUACGUUACUAUUUCUACAUCUAAAUUGACUUUAGCUCCUGAGUUCCAUGUUUAUGGGGUUUGUACCGUUUUACGUACCAUGCAGUACAUGCUUGUAAGGUUUUCUGUCCUGUUGGCAAGCCGCAAGUCCAUAUAAUAAAUGAAUACUAUUUAUAUUACGACACUUUUCUCUCUUUCUCUUAUAUUUUGUCUUUAAUAUUGUUGAUCAUUUUUUUUAUCAAAAGUAUCAAAUGCUUAGGUAAUUUGGUCUAAUGCUAAUUGUUUUACUUUUAUUUUUCACCUACAUCCCUUUUCAACUCAAAGGAUGCUACAGUUUGUGAUCAUUGUUUAAGACCGAAGCAUGGUACUAAUAAAUAUCUCAUUGAAAGUCAAGGAAACUAACAUUAUGAAAAGUGUAAAUCUUGAUUUGAUGAAACUAUUUAUUCGUGGAAUUUAGAGAUACAAAACUCAAAUUGUGACGGUGUUGCUGCUAAAUUAUUAAGGACAUUAUCACCAUUAUUUUUCCCUCACUAGUUUCAUCUGCAAUGAUCUCAAUCUUUUUGUAUUGAUCGGUUGUAAUGAAUCGCGAUUGAUUGGUUGUAAUCCGCUUGUAUUGAUCCCACUAUUGUGGAUACUUCUACGCUCAACAAAAAAUAUAUAUAUUAAAGAAUUAGCAAUAUUUUUUAGAACAAGUUAAAUUUAUUCAUACAAAUUAGACAAAGAAGUAUUUUAAAGACCAUGAUGAAAUUAAUACUUCCAAGGUCUCUAUUAGGAAGACUUCCUUGCCUUGAGUUGCAGUUGCGUGCAGAUGUUUAUAUUUCAAAUUGAUGGUAUAGUAAAAAUGUUGAAUUUCUUUAUCCCCGUGACUUCAAAAAUAUGAACUCAAGAAAUUAACUUCUUAACCAGUAUGUCAUACAAGCUUCACAAGAAAUGUAUAACUUUGCAACUAGAGUCAAUAGAAAUCGUCACAUAAUUAUUAAUUUUACAUCGAAAUUAAGCCUGUAUGACAUACUGGUUCGAGGUUUGGCCACGCUACCUUCCUAUUGUUUAAAAAUUCUCACAUAAUCCCUUGUACUUUGGACUAAACUCGAAUGUGAAAAGAAACCAUCCAAGCUAGUUUGGGAUACACUUGUUGCACUUUGAACUAAACUUGAACGUGAAAGGAAAUCCCAAAACCAUAUUGGGCAUGAAUUCACACUUAAUAGACCCAAAAAAAGAUGGCGACUGGUGAUGGAGGUGAAAGGCAGUGGGGACUGGUGGAGAGAUUUGAGGAAUAGAAGCAGACGAAAAAGCAACAAAUUUUUGCCAAAAAACGGUGACUUUCAUGGUUAAUAUUGCUACUCUCUAAUUGUACUUGACCAAUACAACAGUGAAAUUGUAAUUUAUGCUGAAGAUGGAGUUUGAUACGUGAAGAGAAUUUUUUAUAAAUUUUAUUUUGACCCAUAAUGUUAUCUUUAGAUACAAAAAAUAUUUUAAAAUUUUGAUUUUGGCCCGGUUAACUUUUGGUAAACAAAAAAUGCUCAUGCUUAGUGACAGGUUGUCGAUGCCUGUGCAAAAAUAAAAAUAAAUCUAGUUGCCAAUUAAAAUAAUCAGAGCCCAAUUCUGAGUACUGGAGCAGGGACUCUAGGUGUGCAAUGGGUUACUUGAUUCACUCUAUUUCCGAAGAGUUUGCUUAACCCGAUAUACCAGAAUGGGAUUGCUUAUUCAAAAGGAAUUGUUGAUUUGUAAACAGGGCAAGUAGGGUCGUAUUCUCAGGUGGGCUGGCGGUGCGCGGUCAAUCGACGGAGAAAGAGAGGAAAGGACGCGGGUGGAGGUUUUUGGGUUUUGGCCAAGAGAAGAGGGAACGCAGGGAAAGAGAGAGAGAGGGGCGGUGCUCGGGAAGGUGAGCGGCGGACGACGGCUAGGAGGGAAAAGGAGGAGCGGCGUGCGAAGUUAGAGAGGAGGAGGGAGGCGGCAUACGAAGGAAAAAGAAAUCAAGGAAGAAGAAAGAAAGAAAAGAGGAAGAAAGAAAAGAAGAAGGAAAAAAAAUAGUUUUUGGGUUUUUUUUCAAUUUUUUUUUAUUUUUUUGAAUUUAAAUGUCAAAUUUUGAAUUUUUGAAAAAAAAAACUGAAGGUUAAAAAGGAAAAUAAUUUUAUUUUGCUAAAAAAAAAUUUUUAUUUUUUUAUUUUUUUUUGUUUUGGAUCGUCAAACACAGCGUGGGCACGCCAAAAUUAUAAAACGUCCACUGAUCUUGGGAGUCACUGACACGGCGUGGGCACGCCAAGAUUUCACUUCCUGCCAACGUCGCGAGAUGUUGAAAUUGUACUAACAUGGCGUGGGCACGCCAAGAUUGGUAAACAUCCACUGGCCUUGGGAGUCACUUUUUGAGUGUCCUCCUCGCGUGGGCAUGCCAAGAUUCUAUGUCCUGGUCACAUUGGAGAAAAAUAUGAAAAUUGACUAGUACCCAAAUGAAAAACGACAAAUCGAAAGAAUUGAACAACAAAAAAUAAUAAAGCUAAUAUUUGGGUUGCCUCCCAAAAAGCGCCUUUUUUAACGUUUUUUGUUAGACGUUGAACACCACUCUUCAAUUUGGAUGUAAUUCAAUUUUCCUUGUAAUCGGUGGUCCUACUCCGGGUUCCAAAUAAUCAUUGAGUGCAGCCUUCUUUCUUUAUUUUCUAUUCAUUUUCACCUCAUAAAUUGCUUUCAUUCCCUGAUAUUUGUUCGCAAGAAUUUUGAAUUUACCCCUACAACCAAACUCAAAAAAUUCUUGCACAAAGGAAUUAGUAGCAUGAAUAGCAAACACAGAAUGAGAGUUAACAGUAUGUUUUAUUGUAUUAAAAAUAUUAAAAUGGACUAUUUCUCCAUCGAAUUCCAUUGUGAGAGUACCCUUACUAACAUCAAUCUUAGUUUGGAUAGUACUCAAGAAUGGCCUUCCUAAUCUAAUGGAUGAUGGAUUUGGGACACUUUCAUCAUCCAUAUAAAGCACAUAAAAAUCAGCAGAAAAAAUUAAUCCAUCUACUUGCACUAAAACAUUCUCAACUACCCUAUCUGAAUAAGUAAAUAUACGAUUAGCCAAUUAAAUUAUUAUCCCUAUUUCUUUUAAAGAUCCUAAAUUUAGGGAAUCAUAAAUUGAUUUAGGCAUCACAUUAAUAGAAACUCCUAAAUCUAGCAUGGCAUUUUUUAGAUUAGAAUGUCCAAUCUUACAUGGGAUAGUAAACAUACCUAGAUUCCCGUAUUUAGGUGGUAGUUUCCUUUGUAAAAUUGCUGAAAUGUUCUCAUCUACCACAAUAUGCUUGUCCUCCCUCAAUUUCUUCUUGUUGACACACAAGUUUUUCAAGCAUUUAGCGUAUUUUGGCACUUAUUUGAUCGCGUCCAACAAAGGAAUAUUGAUUGCCACCUUGCGAAAAAUGACGGAAUUUUUAUAUCAAUGCAAGUUUAAAUUCGAUUUUAUACCCGUUGACUGCAAGUAUACAGGCCGAAAUUGUAAUGUAGGGUAUGUAUCGGGUCGAUCCCACGAGGAGCAAAUUAAACAAGUACUAAGCCCUUAUUUUUCUCUAUUAUUUAGACUCACAAUAAAUUUGAACAGAGAAAGUAUAUUGCUAAAAUUUACAAAUUUGAUAUACAAAUAUAAUUUAACAAAUGCUAAAUGCAAAAGAAGAAAUUUCACUCAAGGAAGAAUUUAGGGAUGUAGAUUCCACUUAUGGCAUAAACAACACAAAUGAAUGGAUUUACCUCUUAUUAUUAUUCUUGUUUAACUAGGGAUUCAUUUCCAAAAUUAUCAAGUCUCAUUUUCAUGAUGAAAUGGCCUAGACCAAUAUAGUUUUCCCUAUUUUCAUGGUGAAAUACUACUACUACUCUGUUUUAUUUCAUGAAAUGCUGAAUAAUCCACCUAAGUGUAUCUCUAUUUUCAUGAACAUACAACUUAAGCUCUACUCAUUUAUUUCCAUUGUUACUACCAAUUCUCAUUGAAUAAUAACAACUAUAAACAUACUAUUGGUGAUCAAUCAAUAACAAGUAAUCACAACUACACAAGUAAACAAGUUAAUACAAAAUAUAACAAGUGUAAAUCACAUUCAAGUCAUAUUAUUUAGCCAUAAGUUUCAUCUACUUCCUAGAUAAAGAAAAUUAGCUACUCAUGAAUGAUUUAACAAUCAAACUCACAAGUUUAUUAAUGCAAAAUAUCAUAAAGUACAAGUACAAGAAAGAUAAAAGAAAUCUUAGCCAAUUGAUGGUGAAUCCCUCCAAUUUCUGCUAUGUUCUUGUACAAGAUGAUUACAACUGAAAACUCCAAAUGCUUCUCUAAGGACUCCUAGCUAGAGAGAAAAUGUUACAAGAAGGAAAAACUAGCUACGUAUGGUCCUGUCCUGCUUCUCCCCUGUGUUUUUGCAUAAAAGGUAGUAGAAAGUCUAUUUUCCUCUUCAUAAUUUCCUCCAUUCAGAUUUUGUAAAAAGAAGUCAAAGAUAUGAUGUUUCCUUUUUUCUACAACUCAUUUGGUCUUCUCUUUUGUUGCAGAAGCAUGUGCCACCGAUUUCUAUCCCUCAAAAUAGUUGAAAAAAUUGUGAGAAAGGUAAAGAAAAACAGCUGUGUCACUUGCUGAGCAGAGAGACAAAUCCGAGCCUCGGAUCCGGGGGUGAAACUGGAUCCGAGGACUUCCCAAGGUGGAUCCGAGGUCGGAUCGUUCUGACCUUGGAUACACUCCUCCAAAAGUACAUACGAGGGCUCGGAUCCCUCUUGUUCACACGGAUCCGAGCUCGAAUCCGUGUUGAUUAAAUUUUCAGUUUUUCACUUCUUUCCUUUUUCUACAUUUUUGCUCCCAAUUUCUUUUGUACUUUGUCCUCUGGAUGAUCCUUGCAUUUCUUUCAACUUCGUGCACGAAUUUCAUACAUCAAUAACCUUCACAAUUUCACAAAAUUAACUCAUUAAUCCACUCAUUUAUCAAGUUUUGAACACUUAAACAAUAUUUUAAGUAAUUAUCACUAAAAGAGUUCAAAUAUGGCUUUAAUCUUCUCAAAACAUGCCAAAGAUUCAUGCCAAAUCUGUACAAAAUGUACGUUAAAUAUUCACUUAUCAAAAAACCUCUAAAAUCUCCUUUUCUUUAUCUUGCUUCUUUGAUUUCUCUAACCUGCUCGGAAAAGGCGGUAAGUUAGUUCCAACUCUAAUUAUAGAAUCAGGAAUUAUCUUUGGAUUCGCAUUUCUCAUUCCUUCCUCCUCAAGCUCUUUGUCAAUUCAAUCUUCAUUUUUAUCUUUCGGAAUCACAAGUUCGGAUCUCUGAAUUUUCUUCCCGUUCCUUAAGAUCAUUGCACUUACAUUUUUCAGGUUCAGUUCAGGUUGAGACGGUAAUUUUUCAUAAACUUGGGAUUCCAGGCGGUUGAUUGCUAUUGCCAUCUAACUCAUCUGAUUCUGCAUUACUUGCAUCUGUCCCAAUUGAUUUUUCAUACUUUGUAGGUCAGAAUCCAUUUUUUGUUGAUUAGCAAUUAAUUGCUUCAUCAUCUCUUCUAUAGACAGACUUGAGUUUGAAGGAGGUGGUGGCGGGCGAGACUGAUACUGUUAUUGAUACCCUUGCUGUCUAUUUGGUGUAAAAUCUGGCUGCCUAUUUCCUCCAUAGUUGAGGUUGGAAUGAUCUCUCCAACCAGGAUUGUAUGUAUUCGUGUACGGGUCGUAUGGCUUUCUUAGCACGGGCGCGUAACCAGCCAUGUUCACUUGCUCCGUACUUUUCUCUUGAAUCAUUGAGCACAUCUCUGUAGAAUGACCCAUAGCAGUGCAGAUCCCACACAAUUUGGCUCGUGAUGUAUUUCCUAUAGCUAAUUGCCUAACAAAGGAUGUUAAUUCGGUCAACUGCUAUUGGAUGGAAUAUGUCUCUACCUCAUUUACUUUGCGUGUCGGGACAUCUUCCCUCGUAUCAAACUGUUACGAAUUCUCCGUCAUUCCUUCAAUUAGCUCCUACGCUUCUCAAGAAAUUUUGUUCACCAAUGCCCCUUCACUUGCAGCAUCAAUUAUACUCCUGUCUCUAAAAAACAGCCCCUCGUAAAAAUAUUGGAUGAGCAAUUACUCACUUAUUUGGUGUUGAGGGAACUUGAUGCAUAACUUCUUGAAUCACUCCCAAUAAUCAUAAAGCGACUCUUCUAGAUACUGCUUGAUACCGCAUAUCUCCUUCCUUAGGCUUGCAGCUCGAGACGCAAGAAAAUAUUUGUUCAAAAACUUUUUCUUCAACUGAUCCCACGUGGUGAUGCUACUUGGUGGUAAGUAGUACAGUCAGUCUUUUGCGGAGUCCUUCAAGGAGAAGCAGAAUGCUCUCAUUUUUAUCUGUUCUUCUGUAAUUUCCGGAGGUUUCAUACUGUUGCAAACGACAUCAAACUCUUGCAAAUACUUAUACGGUUCCUCACCUGCUAAAUCAUAAAAAGAUGACAAGAGAUGAAUUAGACCAGAUUUUAACUCAAAUGGAGUGGUUAUCAUUUAAAUAUGGAAAAGUAAUACAUAAGGGCUGCUGUUUUAAAUCAGGAGCAGCAAACUCCCUUAGUAUCCGUGCAUUAGCCAUAGUGACUUCUUCUCGAUCCGAGUCACUAGAAGUAUCACUAUGUGAAUCUGUUAGUUCAACUUCUGGCUUAGGUCUUUGAGAUGAAGCACUGGAGUGCUCUUCUCUAAGUUGUCCGGUCUCUUUCCUUAUUUUAUGCGCAGUCUUCUCUACCUCGGGGUCAAAAAUUAAUUCACCUGUAUGAGAAGAAUGAGGCAUAUACUAGGAAAGCACUAGAAAAUUAGAACAAAAAUGAACCUAAAAAGAAACAAAUAAACCAACACCAGUCCCUGACAACGGCGCUAAAAAUUGACAGGUUAUCGAUGCCUGUGCAAUAAUAAAAAUAAACCUAGUUGCCAAUUAAAAUAAUCAGAGCCCAAUUCUGAGUACUGGAGCAGGGACUAUAGGUGUGUAAUGGGUUACUUGAUUCACCCUAUUCCCGAAGAGUUUGCUUAACCCGAUAUACCAGAAUGAGAUUGCUUAUUCAAAAUGAAUUGUUGAUUUGUAAACAGGGCAAGUAGGGUCGUAUCCUCAGGGAUUGGAAAAAAUUUGUUUCUUUUCAAAUCCACAGUAACAAGGAGGUGUUUUUGUAUAAACGAUAACAAUCUAAGGAGUGCAAAUAGAAAUAAAUAGAUAACUAGAAAUUAAAUGACAAUUCACUAAAAUUAGAAUAAUAAUAAUUAAAGGUCUAGCCAAGAAAUAAUUUCAGCAAUGGUUCACCUAAUUGAUCAUCGACGCAAAGGCAAUUCCAAUUAUUUACUAAUAAAUAGAUUAUAACUGUCAAACAAGUGAUGAUAGUCAACCCCUCCUUACUGUAUCAGUGAUUAAGGUAUGUCCGUUAAUCACUGCUAUAAUUGAGAAAUAAUCUUAGGUACGUCCGUAAGAUUUAAUUCCCCAAUUGCCUUACGUAUUAGAGGAGCCCUAUUCUAACCAAAUAACGCACUAUCAGGAUUAUUUUAAAUUAGCCCAUGUAUUCCCUUGAUACAAACCCAAUCAUGCCAGUUGUCACUAUUUCAAGGCAAUGAAACAAUUACGGAUUUAAUGCCCUAAUUGACUAUAGGUUACUAAAUCAAUUCACUAUCUCGAUCCAAGAUAAUCAAUCAAUUUAACAACUAAUAGCACUGCAAUCGGAGAAUAUGUAAAUACCAAUAAAUAAGAGGAAAAGAUAAAAUUAAAUCGAUCUCACAAUUUUUAGACAAACCAAAGCAUCAGUUAUUUCUUGACUAGAAAAGAAAAUUUAGUUCAUUCCUAAUGCGAAAGACCCACGCGAGAAUUCAAAAAUAAUAUUCACGGACAUCGUCUUGAUCCAGUAGAUUCAAUUGCGUUGGAAUAAGGAUAAAAAACCAAACUACAGAGAGUGAUUCAUUGUUUUGUUUCGUCUGCACUUUUUCUACACAUACGGAAGAAGAAAAACAACUAAAGGAUGAAAAAAGAAAAGUCAAAGAAAGCCACCCAAAGUAGUGCUUGGUCUCUACCAUCCUAUUUCCUAUCUAAUUACUACUUCCCUUCUGCGGCUGCCUAGAGGAAGAAAGAAAAGGAGACUCCAGGUCUUGUUCCAUCUCCUCCCUUUUCGGCAAUUCCCCAAAAGUAGAAAAGUUCCUCCGUUUACCAAAAUGCCCCUGGAAUGAGGACCGCUACUUGAACUCAUUUCCUGAUGACUGUCAAAUUGACACUUGUUAUGGUAUUUGCGUUCCACUCCCUGUAAUAAAUGCAAAUUGUCAAAAGUGAGUAAAAUUUGACAAUUAAUUUAAAUCGGGUCAGGUAAUAGGGGAAAUUAAUUAUAAAAUAAAUGAUAAAAUUGUAACCUAUCACUUAGAAUAACUAGAAAUAAAACAAAACAAGAAAUGAAAGAAAUAAGAGGGGUAGCAUAGACAUUUUGGAUUUUUCUGUUAAUUUGGAUGAUUUCCACCCACGGUCUAAUUUAAUCCAAAACACAAAUGGAUUAUGUGGAGGUUUUUAAACAAUGAGGGAGUAUCAUGAUCGAAUUCUAAAACACAAAGGGGAUUUACUAUAUUUUACUCUUAAAUUUUGGUUUCAUCUCAUAGCAUACAAGAGUACUAUUUCACUGUCUGUCGACAAAGAUUUUCUAUGGUUGAUGUACCAUAGGAAAAAUCUGCCUAUACCAUCAUUUGGAAAAAUUAUCAAUCCAAACAUAGCCACCAUAGCAUUUUUUCAAAAACACAAGAUGGAAAAUUGUCCCCUUAAACGUUGAAAUUCAUGAUCUUUCCUCGACCUAGUCUACUUGUCAAUUCUUGAAAAAAGAAUAGUCACGCCUAAAACACGGCCUCUUCAUCUGCAGAAUUCUAAAAAGUUAGGUAAACUCUAUAAACAAGUUGAUAGGUACAAUCGUACCCAAGAUCAAGUACAGGUAUUUGUACAUUCACUGCUGCAAUAACUAAUCUGAUGACUUACAAACACAUCAUGGUCAAUCGUUGAAUGGUAAUGAGUCUUUUGUUAUGCAUUAGUAUUAGUGUGUACACUCUAAUAGAUUGAUACUUAUACACUUUAAAUUAUCAUAAUAAUACCCUUAAUUAACUUUAACUCUUAAAAAGAAUACGUGUUAAUACACGAGAGUGUGUAAUAGAACGGCAAGCAUUAUGGUGGUCAUUGAGCAACUUAUAGGAGAAAUAGUCCUAUAAGCUGUUCAAUGACCAAUCACAACUUGCUAAUUGGAUGACUAAUAUAGCUCUAGCUGUAAUGUUUUAAUUAAAUUCCAUCACUAACGUUGGGAUGACUUUUUAACCAAAAAAAAAAGCCUUAGUUCAAGCUCUUCCCUUUAUUGUGCAUUUUUUAAAACAUUUGAUAGGCACUGCAAAUCUGUCAUUUUGGACAUUUUAUUAUUAACUAACCAUGAAAGCCGUGGACAUCAACCCAUAUCCAACAGAAUAUUAAAUUAAUAUUAGAAAAAAUUAUUAAGUAAUUGGAAAAAAAAAAGAAGAGACUAAUUUUCAUUGAAACCCACCGACAAACUAUACGUGUCCAUAGCUUUUGAUUAGUGCAUUCAACGUUUAAUUGUAUAGUCCAGUUCAUAGCCGAUUACAUGGAGUAAAGAUUGUGCUCUUUCCUUUUUCACCCCUUUUGGAAUCGAUACUGUGGAGAAUUGGGUUUUUCCCUCCUUUUUUUCUUUUCUUUCCUUCUGUGCUUUGCAAAACAUAGGUAAAAAUAUGAAAUCCGAAGCAUUCUUUAAUUGGGAUUAAGUAUUGUUCUUGAAAUUAAAAAGAAGAAAGAAAGAACAACAAAAAUCCCAAUCUGGGUUGAUUGUUGAGCUCUAGUUUGGCGGCAUCGUGCUUCCAUAGAAGUUCUCUUAGUGUGAUACGCUGCUUUCAAUCAGUUUAACACGGGAAAAAGAAAAGACAUGAAAAGCAAAUUUUGUGGGGAUAAUUUCAGAAAUCUCUCCUGAAGUUUUUUACUAUUUUACUGGCCUCCUUUCAAAUUUUAAAAAUUACACUAGUCUUCCUUGAGAUUAUUUAUCUUGUAACAUUUAGGUCCAAUCAAUAAUUAAAAGAUGAUAUUAUGAGAGAGAAAAAAAUAUGAUUUUAUCAUUGCCCCCAUCUUACUACAUUAUUGAAUUAAUUUAAUAGCAACCCACACAUUAAAGAAAAAUACUAAUAUUUGCUGUUUUUCAUUGAAGAUCAAAUCACAUGUGCCAUAAAAUAUAGUAUAUCAUUUUAUAUAUUUCACUUAAUGUAAGAUCCAAAUUAUUCUUUUCAAUUACAAAUCCAUUGUUAUUAUAAAAAAAAAAAUAAACUUUAACAUCAUAAAUAUUCUUAUCAAAAUAUUAAAGUUAGUUACUAAAAUUUUUAUGGUGUUAAAGUUCACUCUUUGUAAUAUUUAUGGGUUUGUAAUUGAAAAGAAUAAUUUGGAUCUUACAUUAAGUGAAAUAUAUAGAAUGAUAUACUAUUUUUUAUGGCAUAUGUGAUUCAAUCCUUGAUGAUAAAAAGCAAAUUCAAGUGUUUUCUUUAAUGUUUGUGCUGAUAUUAGAUUAAUUAAAUAAUUUAGUAGAUGAAAGAAAAUAGUGAAAUCAUAUUAUUUUUUCUUUCCUAAUAUCACUUUUUAAUUAUUGGUUGAACUUAGAUAUUACAAAAUAAUAAAUCUCAAGGGAGAUUAGUAUAAUUUUCAAAAUUUGGAGAGAAGCUAAUGAAAUAAUCAAAAACCUUAAGGGAGGUUUACAGAAUUAUCCCAAUUAUGUGGGAAUUAGAAUAAUUGUACUGGACGGCACUGCUGCAAUAGAGGGAAAGAGGAGAAGGUGCAGUUAACUUUUGUUGUUUGAAAUCCUUGGCGAAAUAUUACAGAAAGACAGAUAAAACGGUGGUUAGUACAUAAAUGUUUAUGACAGGGAAAAUGGUACGUCUGUUAAUCACAUUUGAAACAUUUUCAUUGGUGAAUGACCAAAAGUAUCAGGCUUGUCCAAUAGUUGAUCAUUGACCAAGAUAAAACCUGCCAUGGUAGAGCCGUAGAGGUACGAUCUUUUCGUACCUCUUAGUGCACAGGACAUUCCUUUGUUUCAUCUAGCUAAUAAUCUACCAACUCAUUUCUUCACAAAUGCACCUUUUAUGGUCACGUCUACGAAAGCCUUUACAGGAUCUUUACCCUAAAAAUCAAUUCACCGACUCCCAUUUGAUGUCAGAAAUUCUUCUACUUUACUCCAAGAUUGACUGUUAAUAAUAAUGAGACAAUGACCACUUUGAAUUAGGGGUGCGCAAAAUUAUCUGCUAAUCCGAAAAUCCGUCAUAUUCGAUCUGAUCCGAUCCAAAAAUUAGGAUAUUUGAUUUUUAUUAUUUGAUCGGAUCAAAAGAGGGUCGGGUAUCCGCUAAGAUACGGGGCGAGUUAGAGUCACAUAAUUAAAAAUUCGCGGGUAUCCGAUCCGCCCCGCAUAUAUAUAUUUUUUAUUUUUAUACACACUAUAAAAUAAUAAGUUAGAACCAAAUAAGUAAUUUUAUUGAACAAAUUGCAUUACAAAUAUGAGAGACUAUAGUUUAUUUACAAGAUUCAUUUGUAAAGGUCAUGAUCUUAUAUUUUAUAGAAAAAAGUUUAAUUAAUGUGGAACAUAUAUAUUAAAAAUUGUGCUACUUAUUUCAAACUUUUAUUGAUUUUGAUUUCUUUUAAUUUUUUUCCUUUAUCUUAUAUUCUCUUCAUAUGCUUGUUUCUUGGUGGGAAACCUUUUUUUAGAAAAAAAAAAUUAUUAAAUCUUAGAUGAAUGUGUAAAAUAUAAAAUUAAAUUAGUAUAAAUCAUUUUUUUAAAAAAAUUAAAUGAUAAACGGGACGGAACGGGUACCCGCUGAUCCGACCCUAUCUUAUCGGGUACCCGCUGAUAUGCGGGGCAGGUAAAAAUCAGAAAAUGACUGACCUGUAAGGUGCAGGUCGAAUCAAUCAAAUGGUGAAUGGGACGGGUAUACGACCCGCGCCAACACCUACUUUGAAUUAUCACACCAUCCUUCUUGAUAGGAUUGGUACUAGAGGUAGGGAGGGGAGUCGGCUGCAUCCGGUCUUCUUUUCAUAGAUGUCAUUCACGCAAUAUUAUAUUUCGAAGUCAUUGCAUGGCUAAGCUGCAAAAAAGUACGAACACUUGUUAUUAUAUAGCUUAAGAUUCAAAACGUUAGAGCAUAACCCUCCACCUAACACAAUUGAAUAAUGAAUAUUCACGAUUGUCAAAUCUGUCAAAGCACAGUUUGAGGACAACCCAUUCCAACCUGCAAAAGAUUUUUUACUUUUCUAAAGUUGUUGAGAGCUGUAAAAAGACUUACCAUGCUUACAUCUUCCGAGCCUUGGGAGUUAAAAAUGAAGGCACUGAGUGCUAUAAAAAGGGGGCUAGAGGCUGCCUAGAAGCAUAUCAGCCUAAAACAAGAAUUUGUAGUUAUGAUGGGAAGCAAAGCAAAAGCAAUGGGGUCUGGGCUGACUCCUCUUCUUACCACUCUUUUAGUGGUAUUUGUUGCUCUUGGCUUGCCCUCAGAAACUGCAGCUGAUGAUCACUACAAGUAUUCAUCUCCUCCUCCUCCUUACCACUAUCCCUCACCACCACCUCCAGAGCAUUUACCUCCACCAGUGUACAAAUACAAGUCCCCACCACCACCUCAUCAUGUUUACAAGUACAAAUCUCCACCACCCCCACCACCACACCCAGUUUACAAGUAUAAGUCGCCACCACCACCUCCUCAUCCGGUACCACACCCAGUUUACAAGUAUAAGUCACCACCACCACCUCCUCAUCCGGUACCACACCCAGUUUACAAGUAUAAGUCACCACCACCACCUCCUCAUCCGGUAUACAAGUAUAAGUCUCCUCCGCCACACCACACCCAGUUUACAAGUAUAAGUCACCACCACCACCUCCUCAUCCGGUACCACACCCAGUUUACAAGUAUAAGUCACCACCACCACCUCCUCAUCCGGUAUACAAGUAUAAGUCUCCUCCGCCACCACCACACCCAGUUUACAAGUAUAAGUCACCACCACCACCUCCUCAUCCGGUACCACACCCAGUUUACAAGUACAAGUCACCACCACCUCCUCCCCCAGUUUACAAAUACAAGUCUCCACCACCACCAGUUUACCACUACAAGUCACCACCACCUCCUCCCCCAGUUUACAAAUACAAGUCUCCACCACCUCCUCACCACUACUAAGCAAUUGCUUCUGAGGUAAUAACACUUGUUCAAUAUACCCACUUCUGCAUGAUAAAACAUAUCUCUAUCAACACAAACUGUCAUGUCUAUCAUGCUAAGUGCCUUCACUUCAUCCACCAAAAUGACUGCUAGAAAAUUUUUUUUAUGUUACCAAAGAAAGGCAUCAUUUUUUCCCUCUGUUAUCAAGAACUUGUACAGUAUAUAGAUUAAAGAGUUUUUUUUUAACUAGCUUAUCAACUUAGAAAUGCAUAUAGCUGAUAGCCAGCUGAAUAUUUGCAGGCACAGGAGAAGGAAACCAGUGUUUGAGAC